This is an unclassified non-coding RNA of Nomascus leucogenys (northern white-cheeked gibbon), 295 nucleotides long. Its record names the gene 7SK. It matches the Rfam family "7SK RNA". Rfam says of the family: 7SK was discovered as an abundant small nuclear RNA in the mid-70s but a possible function has only recently been suggested. Two independent studies have found that 7SK RNA binds the CDK9/cyclin T complex (known as elongation factor P-TEFb). NCBI's taxonomy places the organism in Eukaryota, Metazoa, Chordata, Mammalia, Primates, Hylobatidae. The record is from Ensembl.
GGAUGUGAGGGUGACCUUUGCUGUGACAUCUGUCACCCCAUUGAUCACCAAGGUUGAUUUGGCUGAUCUGGAUGGCCAGGCGGGUGUCCCUUACCUCCCUUACUGCUCUGUGUGUAUCCUUCCUGAAGCUGCAUGCUUGGUCGAAGAGGAUGAUCACCCCCGACAUAGAGGAGGACCUGUCUUUGGUGAAGAGUAUAUGAGUAGCUGCGCUCCCCUGCUAGAAUCUCCAAACAAGCUCUCAAAAUGCAUGCAAAACCUCUACGCCAAGGACUAUAACACAUUGCUGAAACUAAUG